AUAGCGUUAAGGUAUAAGGUAUUAUGGUAUAAGACAACAAAGCGGGUGUGUGUUACACGCCCUGAAUGGUCACCUGACCAGGCAAGGAAGGGGGCGAAGAAAGAUGUGCAAAAACAGAUGGAGGAACGCAGAGGAGUGGGGGCAGUGAAAUGAGGACAGACAGAAAGAGGGAAGGAACAAGAACGAAGAGGUCCGGUCCAGCCCAGUCCCAGUGCAGCUUCCUGACUGGAAAUAGCCCACAUGGGUGAACUCGUGGGCUGUUUGAAAACAUGGCGGACUGGUCGUCCGCACGCGGCCAAGCAACCGCGCUGACCUCGAACAGUGAGGAGAAGCAGCUGAGGUCAGAAGCCGGAAGGCAGUCAGGUGAUGACCAUGAAAGUUCCAGCCUCCAGUCUCCCAGCUCAGAGGGCUGGAAAUAGUAUCGACCCAUCUGUGUGGAUCCUCUGCGCCGGCUGCCCACGAUGAUGUCAGAUGGAGGGCACACGAGAACCAAUGACCUCGCGACGACCCGGAGGAAGGCGGGGCUCGGCGGAGAAAAGACGAGUGUGGCCAGAAAGGGGGGACAAGGUGAGAGGACAAUAAAGGAAUACCGCCAUCCAUCUUCCAUAACCGCUUGUCCAGUACCGGAUCACCAUGAGCCUGGAACCCAACCCAGGAAGUUCAGGACAGGGAUGGAAUGCCAGUCCAUUAAGGGACAUGCACUUAAUCAAAGACUAAGGGUAAUUCACAGACACUAAUUCACCUAACUGUGUGUUCUUGGAUUUGGAGUCCCAGAGGAAUCCCAAAAACACAUGGUAGGACAUGGAAACUCCACGACCUCUGGAACUGAACACUACCCUUGAGAUAUGGAGGUGCAGGGAGGGGGAGGGGUUUCCCCAAGUCAUGCUUCAGUCAAUGAUUUAAUUCGAUUUGCCAACGUCAGAUUUAACGCCACACAAAAGAAACAAAAGAGAGACAGACAUAGAGGCAAAGGUCACAUGACGUUUCAUAAAUUGUGAUGGUCACAAGGUCUUUCCCAGGCUGCCCCCAGUGGACUCGACGUCCCACUAGAGGACUUGGUACUGCCCCUUGACAAUAAAGACUCACCUCCCUGCUUGCCGUAAUCUAUUAUUCAAGACCCUUGAUUUGUACCGAUCCACUAGCUACUCUGGAUUUCAUCCACGGCUAAAUUUACAUAGAUCCCUAGAAACGUACAGUAAUUACUGUGAACUGUUAAAGUGGUAACACGAUAAAUAAGGUAAUUAAGCAGCUGUUCGAGAAGACUGAGGAGAAAGCGAACGUUACUGCUUGAAACGGCGACAAAGGCCAGUUCAGGUGAUUUAAAUAAUAAAGUGCAAACUCA
Long non-coding RNA from Brienomyrus brachyistius, 1342 nucleotides. RefSeq lists it as uncharacterized. The transcript is spliced from 3 exons. NCBI's taxonomy places the organism in Eukaryota, Metazoa, Chordata, Actinopteri, Osteoglossiformes, Mormyridae. The record is from RefSeq and is a predicted model, not a curated record.